CAGUAGCGUAUAUUAAAGUUGUUGCAGUUAAAAUGCUCGUAGUUGAAGUUCGGAUGCAGCAGAGCUUGGAAACGCUGUUAUGGUGCUUCCGUUGCUUUUGCUUGUCCACAGUGCGUUGCAAGUACGUAUGUGCUUGUGCGUGCAUUUUACUUUGAGAAACAUAGGGUGUUCCACGCAUGUUACGGCAUGAAUAUUCCAGCAUGGGAUAAUCUGGUACGACUUCCAAUCUGCCAUUUUGGUUCGUAGGUUGGAAGUAAUGAUUAAUAGGGACUGUCGGGGGCAUUGGUAUUUAAUUGUCAGAGGUGAAAUUCUUGGAUUUAUGAAAGACUAACAUCUGCGAAAGCAUUUGCCAAGGAUGCUUUCAUUGA
This 368-nucleotide ribosomal RNA is filed under the name uncultured eukaryote. RNAcentral's name for it is "partial 18S ribosomal RNA". It matches the Rfam family "Eukaryotic small subunit ribosomal RNA", at positions 592 to 976 of the family's 1831-position model. The record is from RNAcentral.